CUGAUGACCACUAGUUGUGAUGUUGGUGGAUAACCAGGAGGUGUUUGCAGUCAGUCAGGUAAACUUGCCAGCGAUUUCAGUUGAAGGAAAAGUUGAACAAGAAGAUUUGCAAAAUGCUAUCGAAGAACUGGACGACAAUCAGUGAGUUUAUUAUUGUGGGCAUCCCUGGACUGCAUCCAGACUACUAUGGCCUGGUUUCUGCCAUUUUCUUUGUCAUCUACAUAACCACAGUGGCUGGAAACAUGUUUUUUCUAGUGCUGUUUGUCACUACGGAGAGCCUCAGGAAGCCUAUGUACAUCAUCUUAGCAAGUCUGGCAUUAUCUGAUAUGUGUUUCUCCACUGUUGCCCUGCCUAAGAUCAUAUCCAAAUACUGGUUUAAUGCAGGAGCGACCCCUUUCCAUGCUUGUUUCUUCCAAAUGGAGCUAAUCCACUAUUUUGGGUCUUUAAAUUCACUGAUAAUGAUGAUUAUGGCACUUGAUCGAUAUGUGGCGAUUUGUUAUUCUCUCAGAUACCAGACUGUUAUGACAAACCGUGUAACAUACAUCCUAAUUACCACUGCUUGGAUAACAGCUUUUAUCGCACCAACAGUAGCCACGCUAGACACACAACAGCUUCCAUACUGCGGCCCUAACCUCAUCCUUCAAUGCUACUGUGAUCACAUCUCCAUUACUAACUUGGCAUGUGCUGAAAACAGCAAGCAGUUGUUGGUGGCCCUGUGUAUGGCUCUGCUGGUGCUACUUCUUCCUCUAGUUUGCAUCAUUUACUCUUACU
This 771-nucleotide long non-coding RNA is filed under the name Danio rerio (zebrafish). Its description in RNAcentral is "si:ch211-215a9.12 (ENSDARG00000103268.2)". The record is from RNAcentral. Lineage: Eukaryota; Metazoa; Chordata; Actinopteri; Cypriniformes; Danionidae.